Small nuclear RNA from Suncus etruscus (white-toothed pygmy shrew), 163 nucleotides. RefSeq annotates it as U1 spliceosomal RNA. Lineage: Eukaryota; Metazoa; Chordata; Mammalia; Eulipotyphla; Soricidae. The transcript has a single exon. The record is from RefSeq and is a predicted model, not a curated record.
AUAAUUCUUGGCAGGGGUGAUACCAUGACCACGAAGGUUGUUUUUCUCAGGUAAGACUUAUUCAUUGCACUCUGGAUGUGCUGACCCCUGUGAUUUCUCCAAAUGUGAUAAACUUAACUGCAUAAUUUGUGAUAGUGGGUAACUCUGUUUAUACUCAUGUUCU